This 505-nucleotide ribosomal RNA is filed under the name uncultured bacterium. RNAcentral describes it as "partial 16S ribosomal RNA". It matches the Rfam family "Bacterial small subunit ribosomal RNA", at positions 28 to 507 of the family's 1533-position model. The record is from RNAcentral.
GACGAACGCUGGCGGCGUGCCUAAUACAUGCAAGUAGAACGCACAGUUUAUACCGUAGCUUGCUACACCAUAGACUGUGAGUUGCGAACGGGUGAGUAACGCGUAGGUAACCUGCCUGGUAGCGGGGGAUAACUAUUGGAAACGAUAGCUAAUACCGCAUAAUAUUAAUUAUUGCAUGAUAACUAAUUGAAAGGUGCAAUUGCACCACUACCAGAUGGACCUGCGUUGUAUUAGCUAGUAGGUGAGGUAACGGCUCACCUAGGCGACGAUACAUAGCCGACCGGAGAGGGUGAUCGGCCACACUGGGACUGAGACACGGCCCAGACUCCUACGGGAGGCAGCAGUAGGGAAUCUUCGGCAAUGGACGAAAGUCUGACCGAGCAACGCCGCGUGAGUGAAGAAGGUUUUCGGAUCGUAAAGCUCUGUUGUAAGAGAAGAACGGGUGUGAGAGUGGAAAGUUCACACUGUGACGGUAUCUUACCAGAAAGGGACGGCUAACUACGUG